AUUGAACGCUGGCGGCAGGCCUAACACAUGCAAGUCGAGCGGUAGAGAGAAGCUUGCUUCUCUUGAGAGCGGCGGACGGGUGAGUAAUGCCUAGGAAUCUGCCUGGUAGUGGGGGAUGACGUUCGGAAACGGACGCUAAUACCGCAUACGUCCUACGGGAGAAAGCAGGGGACCUUCGGGCCUUGCGCUAUCAGAUGAGCCUAGGUCGGAUUAGCUAGUUGGUGAGGUAAUGGCUCACCAAGGCGACGAUCCGUAACUGGUCUGAGAGGAUGAUCAGUCACACUGGAACUGAGACACGGUCCAGACUCCUACGGGAGGCAGCAGUGGGGAAUAUUGGACAAUGGGCGAAAGCCUGAUCCAGCCAUGCCGCGUGUGUGAAGAAGGUCUUCGGAUUGUAAAGCACUUUAAGUUGGGAGGAAGGGUUGCAGAUUAAUACUCUGCAAUUUUGACGUUACCGACAGAAUAAGCACCGGCUAACUCUGUGCCAGCCGCCGCGGUAA
RNAcentral lists this ribosomal RNA (500 nucleotides) under uncultured bacterium. RNAcentral's name for it is "partial 16S ribosomal RNA". It matches the Rfam family "Bacterial small subunit ribosomal RNA", at positions 30 to 523 of the family's 1533-position model. The record is from RNAcentral.